UGGCUUUCUUGUUUUCGUGG
RNAcentral lists this non-coding RNA (20 nucleotides) under Arabidopsis thaliana (thale cress). Lineage: Eukaryota; Viridiplantae; Streptophyta; Magnoliopsida; Brassicales; Brassicaceae. The record is from RNAcentral.